GGCUUGUUGAUUAUAAUUUCAGGUCUGGCCUGCCCUAUGAGUUGAUUAAAUGGCCGCGGUAAUUUGACCGUGCAAAGGUAGCAUAAUCAUUAGUUUUUUAAUUGAGAGCUUGAAUGAAAGGUUUGAUGAGGAAAUUUCUGUCUCUAGAAGAAUUUAUUAAAAUUUUAUUUUUAAGUAAAAAAGCUUAAAUGUUUAUAGAAGACGAGAAGACCCUAUAGAGUUUUAUUGUUUUAUUAUAGACUAUAUUUUAAGAGUUAAAAAUAUAAUUUUUUAUGAAAUAAUUUUGUUGGGGUGAUAGAAAAAUUUGAAAAACUUUUUUUUAUUUAAACAUUUAUUUAUGAGUUUAUGAUCCUAUAAUUUGGGUUAAAAGAUUAAAUUACCUUAGGGAUAACAGCGUUAUUUUUUCUAGAGUUCUUAUCGAAGAAAAAGCUUGCGACCUCGAUGUUGGAUUAAAGUAAGCUGUUUGGUGUAGAAGCUAAUAAGUUUAGUCUGUUCGACUUUUAAAACUUUACAUGAUCUGAGUUUAAACCGGUGUGAG
This 538-nucleotide ribosomal RNA is filed under the name Trigonopterus sp. 679 AR-2022a. RNAcentral describes it as "partial large subunit ribosomal RNA". It matches the Rfam family "Bacterial large subunit ribosomal RNA", at positions 1819 to 2625 of the family's 2925-position model. The record is from RNAcentral. Lineage: Eukaryota; Metazoa; Arthropoda; Insecta; Coleoptera; Curculionidae.